AACAGCGUCAUACACUAAAAUACGGAGGAAGUACUACAUAUGACACAUUCUAAUACUACGAAUAUAGUAGAGAUAUAUCUGUCCAGAUUCAUAGUAUUAGGAUGUGUCACGUCCGAUCUUAGAUUUGAUUUUUAUGUGACGGAGAAAGGA
RNAcentral lists this unclassified non-coding RNA (150 nucleotides) under Oryza sativa (Asian cultivated rice). Its description in RNAcentral is "partial microRNA MIR468n-7 precursor". The record is from RNAcentral. Lineage: Eukaryota; Viridiplantae; Streptophyta; Magnoliopsida; Poales; Poaceae.